Molecule: ribosomal RNA, 482 nt
Filed under: uncultured bacterium
Lineage: Bacteria
Description: partial 16S ribosomal RNA
Rfam family: Bacterial small subunit ribosomal RNA
Source: RNAcentral
AUUGAACGCUGGCGGCAUGCCUUACACAUGCAAGUCGAACGGUAACGGGCCUUCGGGUGCCGACGAGUGGCGAACGGGUGAGUAAUACAUCGGAACGUGCCCGAUCGUGGGGGAUAACGAGGCGAAAGCUUUGCUAAUACCGCAUACGAUCUACGGAUGAAAGCAGGGGACCGCAAGGCCUUGCGCGGACGGAGUGGCCGAUGGCAGAUUAGGUAGUUGGUGGGAUAAAAGCUUACCAAGCCGACGAUCUGUAGCUGGUCUGAGAGGAUGAUCAGCCACACUGGGACUGAGACACGGCCCAGACUCCUACGGGAGGCAGCAGUGGGGAAUUUUGGACAAUGGGCGCAAGCCUGAUCCAGCCAUGCCGCGUGCAGGAUGAAGGCCUUCGGGUUGUAAACUGCUUUUGUACGGAACGAAAAGCCUUCUUUUAAUACAGGAGGGUCAUGACGGUACCGUAAGAAUAAGCACCGGCUAACUACGUG